GGGAACGUUCAGUUCAUUUAUUUAUAAAAAUGGAAAGGAUCCUAAAAUAAAUUCAUAUUGUAAAUGAUUUCGUCGCAUACAACAUUCAGAGGCAUGAGAAGGACAGAAGAGAAAAGUAAUGGCUUUGAGAACACACCACUGAAAUGUUAUGGUCAGGUUCUGGGACCUCAAGUGGAGCUGGUGGAUGAGCCCAUCAUUGUCUCUAUGAUACAGGAAACGUUUGGGUAUCAGCUGAUAUGAAAGGAGAAAGGAACAUCUGAACCACGUUUCUAGGAACCAAACAUGAAGGGAGGAGGAUAAUGCAAACCAAACAAGGACACAUGGACCUGGCACAGCAGGACAUGGGCAGACUGGAGAGGUGGGCUGGGUGGCAGAUGGGUGCUGCAAGCAACAAGCCCAAGACACCAUGUUCUCUCGUUGUGACGUGCUAAAAUAGAGGAAUAUCAGUAUAAACCCCCCUAUGGAAAUAGUAUUCCAGAACAAAAAGAAAUAGAGACCCCAUACAAGGACUGACCCUAGCACAGCUACAGCAGGGUGGGAUUCUCUGCAGUCGCUUUGAAUCAAGAUGUGAAAGCAGCAAGAAGCAGAGCCCAAAUAUUCAGAACACAUAGUCUCUUAAAGCUUCUUUGGCACAGGACAGACAACGCAACUCUGAUGCAUCAGAAAUCUAAUGAA
Pezoporus occidentalis (night parrot) is the source of this 675-nucleotide long non-coding RNA. RefSeq lists it as uncharacterized. The record is from RefSeq and is a predicted model, not a curated record. Lineage: Eukaryota; Metazoa; Chordata; Aves; Psittaciformes; Psittacidae. The transcript is spliced from 3 exons.